Molecule: unclassified non-coding RNA, 402 nt
Filed under: soil metagenome
Description: partial contains 5.8S ribosomal RNA, internal transcribed spacer 2, and large subunit ribosomal RNA
Rfam family: 5.8S ribosomal RNA (bases 1-121)
Source: RNAcentral
GAUGAAGAACGUAGCGAAAUGCGAUAAGUAAUGUGAAUUGCAGAAUUCAGUGAAUCAUCGAAUCUUUGAACGCACCUUGCGCCCUUUGGCUAUUCCGAAGGGCAUGCCUGUUUGAGUAUCAUGAACACCUCAACUCUCAUGGCUUGCUGUGAUGAGCUUGGAAUUUGGGGGUCUUGUUGGCUUGUGAGCCAGCUCCUCCUAAAUGAAUUAGCUUGCCGGUGUUUGGUGGCAUCACAGGUGUGAUAACUAUCUACUCUUGUGGUUUCCCAUCAGGUAACCUCCAGUGAUGGAGGUUCGCUGGGGCUCAUAAAUGUCUCUCCUCAGUGAGGACAGAUUUUGACUGUUUGAUCUCAAAUCAGGAAGGACUACCCGCUGAACUUAAGCAUAUCAAUAAGCGGAGGA